GUCCCUGGGAGCCGCCUCUCCCUCGGGCACCUGCGGGAGCAGGAGUGAGGCUCAGGGAGAUGUGUCUGCCCCCGGGAUAUUUCCUCUUGCGGAUUUGUUUCCCCAGGGCAGCCACAGCAGCCAUGGCAUUACCCUGCACGGCCUGCCGGGGCCGACCAGGCGGUGCCACCGAAGCUCUAAGGGGGCUGUGAUGGAGAUCGAAUCCUGCCUGCACCAGUGCCAGAAGCAGAGAACCACAGCACUGCACAACCCUCCUGCCAUAUUUUUUUUUGCCUUUUCUUGCUAAGAAACAAUUUAGCAAGAGAACAAGCAAACAAGAGAGAGACUAUGCAAGCUGGUAGCAUCACAAUAAUGCCAAGUUUUCUGUUUUCUGGAGCAAUUCUAAUGCUUCUGUAACAUCUGGGGAUGGCACGGCCUGCAUUACUGAUGAAGCUGGAUAUUUUUUCUUCUACCUUUUUCUUCAUCGAAGAACAAUUAUUGCACUUGCAUAUUUCACUGCUUCUGCCCCCUCCCACACAUUUUCCUCCUGACUACUUCUGUCCUGAUGACCUCUUUGAAGACGGUUAAAAUAAUAUUCCAGGCUGACAGAAGAACCAGAAAGGGAGAUUGUGAUUGAGGCUAAAAAAGAUACCCCUUGUGUUUAUUGGAGUGUGGACAAAAAAUGUGCUUGUUCAAUGAAGAAAAAAGAAAAAUUAGGUUCCCUCAAAAGAAGAAAAAGGACCUAGAACACUUUGUUAUUAGUCACCACUAAUGGCAUGCUGUCUUAAAUUGUCCCAGAAUUGAAAGAGAAUGUCAUCUUGCUUCUACUUACUCUGAUAAAAUAAUUGACUAUUACUCUUUGUGUGACAGCAUUAAACACCAGGAACAGUGAAAUCCUGCUUUUCUGAUUUAUUUAUUGCCAAUUAUGGAAUUUUAUUCUAAUAUACAGUGCCACUGAGGACAGGCUGGGUCAAUUUCAUUUAGAUAUAACCUCAAAAAACGUUUUACAAUAAUAAAAACCUAUUAAAUUCUGAUGACUAACCUA
Parus major (Great Tit) is the source of this 1024-nucleotide long non-coding RNA. RefSeq lists it as uncharacterized. The record is from RefSeq and is a predicted model, not a curated record. Lineage: Eukaryota; Metazoa; Chordata; Aves; Passeriformes; Paridae. The transcript has 3 exons.